Molecule: ribosomal RNA, 870 nt
Filed under: uncultured bacterium
Lineage: Bacteria
Description: bacterial SSU rRNA
Rfam family: Bacterial small subunit ribosomal RNA
Source: RNAcentral
UCAUGGCUCAGGAUGAACGCUGGCGGCGUGCCUAACACAUGCAAGUCGAACGGGGUGUUCCUUCGGGGACACUUAGUGGCGAACGGGUGAGUAACGCGUGAGAAACCUGCCUUUCAGUGGGGGACAACAGUUGGAAACGACUGCUAAUACCGCAUAAUGUUAUUUGGGGGCAUCCCCGAAUAACCAAAGCUUAAUGUGCUGAAAGAUGGUCUCGCGUCUGAUUAGCUAGAUGGCGGGGUAACGGCCCACCAUGGCGACGAUCAGUAGCCGGUCUGAGAGGAUGAACGGCCACAUUGGGACUGAGAUACGGCCCAGACUCCUACGGGAGGCAGCAGUGGGGAAUAUUGGGCAAUGGGGGAAACCCUGACCCAGCAACGCCGCGUGAAGGAAGAAGGCCUUCGGGUUGUAAACUUCUUUUACCAGGGACGAACACAAUGACGGUACCUGGAGAAAAAGCAACGGCUAACUACGUGCCAGCAGCCGCGGUAAUACGUAGGUUGCAAGCGUUGUCCGGAUUUACUGGGUGUAAAGGGCGUGUAGGCGGAGAUGCAAGUUGGGAGUGAAAUCCCGGGGCUCAACCCCGGAACUGCUUUCAAAACUGCAUCCCUUGAGUAUCGGAGAGGCAAGCGGAAUUCCUAGUGUAGCGGUGAAAUGCGUAGAUAUUAGGAGGAACACCAGUGGCGAAGGCGGCUUGCUGGACGACAACUGACGCUGAGGCGCGAAAGCGUGGGGAGCAAACAGGAUUAGAUACCCUGGUAGUCCACGCUGUAAACGAUGAAUACUAGGUGUGGGAGGACUGACCCCUUCCGUGCCGCAGUUAACACAAUAAGUAUUCCACCUGGGGAGUACGACCGCAAGGUUGAAACUCAA